Labrus mixtus (cuckoo wrasse) is the source of this 191-nucleotide small nuclear RNA. RefSeq annotates it as U2 spliceosomal RNA. NCBI's taxonomy places the organism in Eukaryota, Metazoa, Chordata, Actinopteri, Labriformes, Labridae. The record is from RefSeq and is a predicted model, not a curated record. The transcript has a single exon.
GUCUCUUCUCUGCCUCUGGGCUAAGAUCAGGUGAAAUUUCUGUUCUUAUCAGCAUCAUUUCUGAUACGUCCCGUAUAUUGGGACAAAGUAUUCAGUGGACUUGUUGACGGGAGCCAAAAUAGGGACUCUUUUUUUAGCCUGCAUCUUACAGUCAGGCCUAUAAUUCUCUGAACUUCUAUUGGAUAAAGCCU